This 383-nucleotide ribosomal RNA is filed under the name Gomphus lynnae. RNAcentral describes it as "partial 16S ribosomal RNA". The record is from RNAcentral. Lineage: Eukaryota; Metazoa; Arthropoda; Insecta; Odonata; Gomphidae.
GUCCUCUUGUUUAUAUAUGAGGUCUGACCUGCCCGGUGAAAUUUAUUUUAACGGCCGCAGUAUUUUGACUGUGCAAAGGUAGCAUAAUCAUUAGUCUUUUAAUAGGGGGCUGGUAUGAAGGGUUUGACGAGGUGUUAACUGUCUCAUUUAAUUUGUAUUUAGAAUUUAACUUUUCAGUUAAAAGGCUGAAAUUGUAUUGGAAGACGAGAAGACCCUAUAGAGCUUUAUAAUUAGUAUUUUAAUUGUUUUUUGUAAUAUAAAUUAUGAUUAUAAUUUUAAUUAUUUUGUUGGGGUGACAAAAAUAUAUAUUUAACUUUUUUAUUUAAUUGACAUUGAUUUAUGAAUGUUAGAUCCAGUCUUAUUGAUUGUUAGAUUAAGUUACC